CUUUGUGGUUCAUGACUGGGGUGAAGUCGUAACAAGGUAGCGCUAGGGGAACCUGGCGCUGGAUCACCUCCUUACACGA
This 79-nucleotide ribosomal RNA is filed under the name Vibrio cholerae. RNAcentral describes it as "partial 16S ribosomal RNA". It matches the Rfam family "Bacterial small subunit ribosomal RNA", at positions 1460 to 1533 of the family's 1533-position model. The record is from RNAcentral. Lineage: Bacteria; Pseudomonadati; Pseudomonadota; Gammaproteobacteria; Vibrionales; Vibrionaceae.